RNAcentral lists this ribosomal RNA (443 nucleotides) under uncultured bacterium. RNAcentral describes it as "partial 16S ribosomal RNA". It matches the Rfam family "Bacterial small subunit ribosomal RNA", at positions 338 to 795 of the family's 1533-position model. The record is from RNAcentral.
CCUACGGGAGGCAGCAGUGGGGAAUAUUGGACAAUGGGGGGAACCCUGAUCCAGCGACGCCGCGUGAGUGAAGAAGUAUUUCGGUAUGUAAAGCCCUAUCAGCAGGGAAGAAAGAAAUGACGGUACCUGACUAAGAAGCCCCGGCUAACUACGUGCCAGCAGCCGCGGUAAUACGUAGGGGGCAAGCGUUAUCCGGAUUUACUGGGUGUAAAGGGAGCGUAGACAGUUACGCAAGUCUGGAGUGAAAGGGGGGGGCCCAACCCCCGGACUGCUUUGGAAACUGUAUAACUGGAGUGCAGGAGAGGUAAGUGGAAUGCCUGGUGUAGCGGUGAAAUGCGUAGAUAUUAGGAGGAACACCAGUGGCGAAGGCGGCUUACUGGACUGUAACUGACGUUGAGGCUCGAAAGCGUGGGGAGCGAACAGGAUUAGAUACCCCAGUAGUC